This is a long non-coding RNA of Zingiber officinale, 305 nucleotides long. RefSeq lists it as uncharacterized. The transcript has 4 exons. NCBI's taxonomy places the organism in Eukaryota, Viridiplantae, Streptophyta, Magnoliopsida, Zingiberales, Zingiberaceae. The record is from RefSeq and is a predicted model, not a curated record.
CUUCGGUUGGCUCCGAUCAGACGUCGCGGCAACAGAGCCGUGCCCUAGCAACGAUCCUUAAGGUCACGGAUUGGGAAAUUUCUUUUGGAGACAACCGAUUGAGUGAGGUUAUGUGCUCCUGCGGUGGAUCUGGAAUUGGGUUCUGUGGCAGCUUGGUUUCCAGCAGUGUUCUGUGAGGUUGCUUAUUUUUGGUUCGGCAGCUAUAAUCCCUGCUGUGGAUCAACCGAUUAGAGCAAGGAAUUGAGGAUUCUGAUUCGAGACAGGCGUCUCGAAGUUGACAUUGGAUUAGGACUGGAUUGUACCUU